RNAcentral lists this ribosomal RNA (506 nucleotides) under uncultured Glomus. Its description in RNAcentral is "SSU rRNA". It matches the Rfam family "Eukaryotic small subunit ribosomal RNA", at positions 569 to 1078 of the family's 1831-position model. The record is from RNAcentral. Lineage: Eukaryota; Fungi; Glomeromycota; Glomeromycetes; Glomerales; Glomeraceae.
AGCAGCCGCGGUAAUUCCAGCUCCAAUAGCGUAUAUUAAAGUUGUUGCAGUAAAAAGCUCGUAGUUGAAUUUCGGGAUCAAGGAAUCGGUCAUGCCUCGGUAUGUACUGGUUUUAUUGGUUCUCACCUUCUAAAGAACCAUGAUGUCAUUCAUUUGAUGUUAUGGGGAAUUAGGACUGUUACCUUGAAAAAAUUAGAGUGUUUAAAGCAAGCUUACGCUUGAAUACAUUAGCAUGGAAUAAUGAAAUAGGACAUCCGAUUCUAUUUUGUUGGUUUCUAGGAUCGAUGUAAUGAUUAAUAGGGAUAGUUGGGGGCAUUAGUAUUCAAUUGUCAGAGGUGAAAUUCUUGGAUUUAUUGAAGACUAACUACUGCGAAAGCAUUUGCCAAGGAUGUUUUCAUUAAUCAAGAACGAAAGUUAGGGGAUCGAAGACGAUCAGAUACCGUCGUAGUCUUAACCAUAAACUAUGCCGACUAGGGAUCGGAUGAUGUUUAUUUUUUAGUGACUCA